GGUUUAAUUCGAAGCAACGCGAAGAACCUUACCAAAUCUUGACAUCCUUUGACAACUCUAGAGAUAGAGCUUUCCCCUUCGGGGGACAAAGUGACAGGUGGUGCAUGGUUGUCGUCAGCUCGUGUCGUGAGAUGUUGGGUUAAGUCCCGCAACGAGCGCAACCCUUAAGCUUAGUUGCCAUCAUUAAGUUGGGCACUCUAAGUUGACUGCCGGUGACAACCGGA
RNAcentral lists this ribosomal RNA (224 nucleotides) under uncultured bacterium. RNAcentral's name for it is "partial 16S ribosomal RNA". It matches the Rfam family "Bacterial small subunit ribosomal RNA", at positions 943 to 1167 of the family's 1533-position model. The record is from RNAcentral.